UACAGAGGUCUCGAGCGUUGUUCGGAUUCAUUGGGCGUAAAGGGUGCGUAGGUGGCGCCGUAAGUCGGGUGUGAAAUUUCGGAGCUUAACUCCGAAACUGCAUUCGAUACUGCGGUGCUUGAGGACUGGAGAGGAGACUGGAAUUCAUGGUGUAGCAGUGAAAUGCGUAGAGAUCGGGAGGAAGGCCGGUGGCGAAGGCGGCGCUCUGGAACGUUUCUGACGCUGAGGCUCGAAAGCGUGGGGAGCAAACAGG
This 253-nucleotide ribosomal RNA is filed under the name uncultured prokaryote. Its description in RNAcentral is "partial 16S ribosomal RNA". It matches the Rfam family "Bacterial small subunit ribosomal RNA", at positions 524 to 776 of the family's 1533-position model. The record is from RNAcentral.